AAAAUACCCAAUAGUUUAUAGAUUUCAAUAAUUAUAAAGUUGUUUUUUUCUAUGGGUGAAAUGUCUUUUCUUUUCAAUUAGGAAAAAAAAAACUAGACCAAUAUGAAAUCUGAUUAUGGUUUUCACACACACACACACACACACAUAUAUAUAUAUAUAUAUAUAAUUUAAUAUUGUUAUCGGCCUAAACGCGCUUCGUACUUAAAUAUCGUAGAAAAAAAUAUUUAUUUAUUAGUCUUUGUUUGUUCUAUCCAAAUCUAGGUAUAGCAAAAAAAAAUGUAAUUGUUUUUGUAUGUUUUACACAUUUUUUACUUGCCUGUGAUAAAAGCAAUGCCAAAAACAAAAAUAUAUUUAUUAUGAAUGGACUUUUGUGUUUCCUAGAUAGACGGAAUUCCGUUUUCUUCUUUUUCUCGUUAUAGUUGUUUUUGUAACCCUAAGCUAGCAUAGUGUCUAUAUAUUUAAUGACAUAUUGCCAGAUAGGUAGAGGGCUACAUUUAAAAAAAUGAGUCUUAAACUACGAAACCACUGAAAAGUGAAAUUUUGUUACUAAAUCUCCAUUUAUGGUAAAAAAUGUGAGCCCUGAAUCCUUUCAAAUUGACAUUGAAUUGACUUUGCACUUGGCUACUAUAAUCUUUAAAAAAAUUUCUUCUUUGUUUUUAAAUUUAAAAAAACGGCAAAGAAAUGCAACUAUUUGAUAAAGCUCGAAUAUUUAUUUUUUAAUGAUGUGCUUGUGAGAUACAGCUUUUCUAUAUUAUUAACUGCAUCUUAUAGUCUUGGCAUAUCGAACAUGUGUUUUAUUUAUAAGAAAAUAGUUUGACGAGACAGUUUUUUUUUUUCAAACCAAUCAAUCGUACUAAUUAUUUAUAUUUUGACAUCCUGCCCUAUUGAGUAGCAGUUAAUGUUAUUCAAUUUUUCAAACACUGAAAUGUGAUAAAACAGAGCAAAACUUGACAGUAUUUUACUCUUGUUUGUUGUUCCGUUUUCAACUUAGGUUUAUAAACCAAGACUUUAAUAUUCUGUUUCACUUCCUCAGUCGGAUGAUCUCUAUGUGACAUGUGCUUUGGGCUAUCUUCACGAUAUAUUCGAAUCUAUUUUUUAAAAAAAGACGCUACAGAAAGGCGACUAGGAAAACUAUUUGUUGCUUAGUACAUAACGAUUUUAAUAAUAAUAAUAAUAAAGCUUG
Biomphalaria pfeifferi is the source of this 1183-nucleotide non-coding RNA. NCBI's taxonomy places the organism in Eukaryota, Metazoa, Mollusca, Gastropoda, Planorbidae. The record is from the annotation of a GenBank genome assembly.